GACGAACGCUGGCGGCGUGCUUAACACAUGCCAGUCGAACGGAAAGGCCCUGCUUUUGUGGGGUGCUCGAGUGGCGAACGGGUGAGUAACACGUGAGUAACCUGCCCUUGACUUUGGGAUAACUUCAGGAAACUGGGGCUAAUACCGGCUAGGAGCUCCUGCUGCAUGGUGGGGGUUGGAAAGUUUCGGCGGUUGGGGAUGGACUCGCGGCUUAUCAGCUUGUUGGUGGGGUAGUGGCUUACCAAGGCUUUGACGGGUAGCCGGCCUGAGAGGGUGACCGGCCACAUUGGGACUGAGAUACGGCCCAGACUCCUACGGGAGGCAGCAGUGGGGAAUAUUGCACAAUGGGCGGAAGCCUGAUGCAGCAACGCCGCGUGCGGGAUGACGGCCUUCGGGUUGUAAACCGCUUUCGCCUGUGACGAAGCGUGAGUGACGGUAAUGGGUAAAGAAGCACCGGCUAACUACGUG
RNAcentral lists this ribosomal RNA (468 nucleotides) under uncultured bacterium. RNAcentral describes it as "partial 16S ribosomal RNA". It matches the Rfam family "Bacterial small subunit ribosomal RNA", at positions 28 to 507 of the family's 1533-position model. The record is from RNAcentral.